ACUUCCACAUCCAUAAUGUGACAAAAUUGUCUAUGCAUUGUAGGUUACGACCACGGACUCCAUAGACAGAUUGCAAGGACUGGAGGAACACUCACUAUGUGUGACCUUGGGAAUAUAUCUGCCGUUAUGCUCUUUUUGACAGGAUACCCAGACUGAUAAACCAUCAGUAAAAUGUCAGCUUCCACUGAAGGGAAGACAGAGGAGAAAGAGAACAAAUGGCAGGAUUUUUAGAAUUUCCAGAAGACCAUUACAUCACUCUUCAGCCUUCUCUUCCACAUAAAAAAAA
This is a long non-coding RNA of Lynx canadensis (Canada lynx), 286 nucleotides long. RefSeq lists it as uncharacterized. Lineage: Eukaryota; Metazoa; Chordata; Mammalia; Carnivora; Felidae. The transcript has 4 exons. The record is from RefSeq and is a predicted model, not a curated record.